GGAUGUGAGGGCGAUCUGCGUGCAACAUCUAUCACCCCAUUGAUUGCCAGGGUUGAUUUGGCUGAUGUGUCUGGCUAGUGGGUGUCCCCUUCUUCCCUCACUGUUCCCUUCUGAAGCUGUGUCCUGCGGGGGGAGCAGAUGACCAACCCCAACACCGAUGGAGGAGGACCCAUUUCUUCCCCAUGCGCUUUGCUGCUAGAACCACUAGAGUCCUAAAAGACUUUUAAUUGUUCUCAAUCUAAAAGGUAGGGAAAGGCAUAGUACUUCAGAAAACCCAGAUUCAUAGUUCUUU
RNAcentral lists this small RNA (292 nucleotides) under Fukomys damarensis (Damara mole-rat). RNAcentral's name for it is "7SK RNA (ENSFDAG00000001199.1)". The stretch from base 1 to 107 matches the Rfam family "7SK RNA", at positions 1 to 108 of the family's 331-position model. The record is from RNAcentral. Lineage: Eukaryota; Metazoa; Chordata; Mammalia; Rodentia; Bathyergidae.